AAGCGGUGGAUGAUGUGGUUUAAUUCGAUGCAACGCGAAAACCUUACCACCUUGACAUGUACGGAAUCCUUUAGAGAUAGAGGAGUGCUCGAAAGAGAGCCGUAACACAGGUGCUGCAUGGCUGUCGUCAGCUCGUGUCGUGAGAUGUUGGGUUAAGUCCCGCAACGAGCGCAACCCUUGUCAUUAGUUGCUACAUUCAGUUGGGCACUCUAAUGAGACUGCCGGUGACAAACCGGAGGAAGGUGGGGAUGACGUCAAGUCCUCAUGGCCCUUAUAGGUGGGGCUACACACGUCAUACAAUGGAUGGUACAAAGGGUCGCCAACCCGCGAGGGGGAGCCAAUCCCAUAAAGCCAUUCGUAGUCCGGAUCGCAGUCUGCAACUCGACUGCGUGAAGUCGGAAUCGCUAGUAAUCGUGGAUCAGAAUGUCACGGUGAAUACGUUCCCGGGUCUU
Molecule: ribosomal RNA, 452 nt
Filed under: uncultured Acidovorax sp.
Lineage: Bacteria; Pseudomonadati; Pseudomonadota; Betaproteobacteria; Burkholderiales; Comamonadaceae
Description: bacterial SSU rRNA
Rfam family: Bacterial small subunit ribosomal RNA
Source: RNAcentral